AAUAGUUUAAUAUUACAUCAGUAUUUUUAUCUUGAAUUUCAAUAGUUUCAUCCUAAAAAAAAAUCAAAUCCAAAUAAAAAUCUUGAAAUUCAGGAUAAAAUUAUUGAUGUAGCAUUAAACUAUU
Molecule: microRNA precursor, 124 nt
Filed under: Gossypium barbadense (sea-island cotton)
Lineage: Eukaryota; Viridiplantae; Streptophyta; Magnoliopsida; Malvales; Malvaceae
Also listed under: 2 other names
Description: MIR7504 microRNA precursor family
Rfam family: MIR7504 microRNA precursor family
Source: Rfam by way of RNAcentral